CCUACGGGGGGCAGCAGUGGGGAAUAUUGGACAAUGGGGGGAACCCUGAUCCAGCCAUGCCGCGUGUGUGAAGAAGGCCCUCGGGUUGUAAAGCACUUUCAGUGAGGAAGAACGCCUGGUGGUGAAUACCCAUCAGGAAAGACAUCACUCACAGAAGAAGCACCGGCUAACUCCGUGCCAGCAGCCGCGGUAAUACGGAGGGUGCGAGCGUUAAUCGGAAUUACUGGGCGUAAAGCGCGCGUAGGUGGCUUGAUAAGCCGGUUGUGAAAGCCCCGGGCUCAACCUGGGAACGGCAUCCGGAACUGUCGAGCUAGAGUGCAGGAGAGGAAGGUAGAACUCCCGGUGUAGCGGUGAAAUGCGUAGAGAUCGGGAGGAAUACCAGUGGCGAAGGCGGCCUUCUGGACUGACACUGACACUGAGGUGCGAAAGCGUGGGUAGCAAACAGGAUUAGAUACCCUGGUAGUC
This 465-nucleotide ribosomal RNA is filed under the name Vreelandella stevensii. RNAcentral's name for it is "partial 16S ribosomal RNA". It matches the Rfam family "Bacterial small subunit ribosomal RNA", at positions 338 to 795 of the family's 1533-position model. The record is from RNAcentral. Lineage: Bacteria; Pseudomonadati; Pseudomonadota; Gammaproteobacteria; Oceanospirillales; Halomonadaceae.